Molecule: non-coding RNA, 717 nt
Organism: Megalobrama amblycephala (Wuchang bream)
Lineage: Eukaryota; Metazoa; Chordata; Actinopteri; Cypriniformes; Xenocyprididae
Source: the annotation of a RefSeq genome assembly
ACUGCAACCAGUUCUGCUUCAAGGGUUUUCUGUUUUUAUUUUAAUGUAAUUGCAGAAACUGGCCACACUGUGGCAGAAUUGUAGCCUAUUAUUCUAUCAAGCUCCUCCUAUAUGUGUUUAACCUGUGCAAACAUAUAGUCACAUACAGUGAAAUCUAAACUCAGGCUGGCUCAUGUUCAUCAUCAUCAUAACUCACUAAUAUCACGUUUGCAGUUUUAUAUGCUUGUAUGUAAACUAUGUUAAUCUGGCUGAAGAGUUUACUUCUAUUGGCUGCAGUUCUAGAGUGCAGCACACAAGAUUCUGUUAAUCAGCCAACAAGAGUUCAAACAGCGUCUGAACAUGACGUGGUCACACUUCACUGCACUUACAGCACCAGUGACCAAUACCCUUAUCUUUACUGGUACCAGCAGAAAACCAAUGGAUUCCCAGUUUACAUGCUCCGUAAACUCUCAACUGGAUCAAGCAGCAGUGAAAAAGAAUUUGAGGAAAGAUUUCAUGCAGAUCUCAACAAAUCCUCAAGCUCAGUUCCUCUGAUGAUCCAGGAUGUGUGUGUGUCUGACUCUGCUGUUUACUACUGUGCUCUGAGGACCACAGUCACAGGAAACACAAGAACACUGUACAAAAACCUGAUACACAAUAUUGCAUACAGUACAUUAAACACAUUCGGCUCCCCUGUCUGUAAGUCACAUUCACUCUAAAAAUUAAUUUCACUAUAUG